UCGCUUGUGUUCUUGUACGGGUUGCUUCCUGGCUUUAUUCUGUUGGUCUUCGGUUGGUGGUCUACCUGUCUUCUUCCUUCUCGGUUUCACGGAUGCCCUGUGCUGCUUCGGUUGGUAAGGAGGUAUUCAUCUUGAUUUUUUACCGAGGGUUGAGGAAGGUAUCUUCAUUUCAGGUAUUAUUUUAUCUUGAUCUAUUGUCGAGGCCG
Molecule: long non-coding RNA, 206 nt
Filed under: Elaeis guineensis (African oil palm)
Lineage: Eukaryota; Viridiplantae; Streptophyta; Magnoliopsida; Arecales; Arecaceae
Description: long non-coding RNA (EGUI_LNC079239)
Source: RNAcentral